This 406-nucleotide ribosomal RNA is filed under the name uncultured bacterium. RNAcentral describes it as "partial 16S ribosomal RNA". It matches the Rfam family "Bacterial small subunit ribosomal RNA", at positions 29 to 526 of the family's 1533-position model. The record is from RNAcentral.
AUUGAACGCUGGCGGCAGGCCUAACACAUGCAAGUCGAACGAGUGGCGGACGGGUGAGUAAUGUCUGGGAAACUGCCUUAUGGAGGGGGAUAACUACUGGAAACGGUAGCUAAUACCGCAUACCAUCGGAUGUGCCCAGAUGGGAUGAGCUAGUAGGUGGGGGAACGGCUCACCUAGGCGACGAUCCCUAGCUGGUCUGAGAGGAUGACCGGCAACACGGGAACGGAGACACGGUCCAGACUCCUACGGGAGGCAGCAGUGGGGAAUAUUGCCAAAUGGGCGCAAGCCUGAUGCAGACAGGCCGCGUGUAUGAAGAAGGCCUUGGGGUUGUAAAGUACUUUCAGCGGGGAGGCGUUACCCGCAGAAGAAGCACCGGCUAACUCCGUGCCAGCAGCCGCGGUAAUUC